UCAUCUUCAAUACUCCCAUUUCCUUCUCUUCAAAAGAUCCCUCAUCUUCAAUAACAACCCAUCAAAUUUCAAAUCCUAAUUACCCCAAAUACAAACUCCGCGUUGCCGCCACAUCAACAUUCCGGUCCACUCCAGCGAUUGCCCAAUCAAUUCCAGCUAGCUGCUGACGACGCACAAAAGAAGAGUGGAGAACAGAAAAGACGACUUCUUCUUACUCCUCUAUCUGCUUCCUCCUUUCUCCUUACUUUGUCUCCAUCCGAAAUCUGUUUUCCCCCUUCCAGCCUUCCUAAAUCUGCAUCGUUUAUUCCGUUGCUUUUUUCGUUUUAAUCUCCCGUCAGAGACUCGGAGCUUUCUGGUUGUAGUAACCAAAUUUUGUCCGGGUCCUCGAGUUUUUUUGAUUACGUAACUCUACUUUACAUCUAAUUUUUGAUCUUUUUCUGGUCCAAUUUCAGGCCCGAUUUUCGGCCCGAUGUCGGGCCCGUUACUGUAAUCAAUCAGGGAGCUGUCACCUCUCUUUUAAGUCAGAGCAUGGGUGUUGAAUUGUGAUUUGUUUUCAAGGGCGGUGGGAGCCCCUUUUGUUCAUUUAAAAGGACCAUCGAAUUUAUUUCGAGAGGGGGAGGGAGAGAACGAAGAAGGACUACCGAUUACAACGAGAACUCCCCCAAAAUCCCCUAAUCCCACUACACCCUAAAUCCAUUACACCCUAAAUUCAUUACACCCCAAUCCCUCCACAAAAGAAAAUUGACAAAAAUAAACAGAAAUACAAAGCUUUUCUAGCCGAAACUUUGGGGGUUCAAAGCUUCCGAAUUCCCAAAUUUUUGGAGCCAGCAGCCUAGGGCUCAUCCAGACUGCAAAAGAAGAACAAAGUUAGUUUUCAAAGAUUGGUACUCCAAACAAGCCUUUUUGUAAUUCUCAAUCAUUCACAUAUCUUUAGUGUCUUAAAUCCUAUACAUAUUGAUAUACAUGUUAGUGUCGCAUGCUAUAUUAUAUAUCACCAUGUAAGCUACUUACAGUCUAAUAACUUUCAUAAUUGAAUAAAUAAACGACUCCCUAAAACUAACAUUAGCUGGAAAAAUGAAGCUUCUUUAUUUAAUAAAGUUUUCAAGUAGAAAAUCAUUUGUAUAAACAUUUAGAUUACCGAUUUAGCUUUAAUAACAAAACAGUCAAAUUUUUCAAGCAACCUAAAGUUAGUAACAAGACUACCAUCAUCAAUCAAGUAAACUCAGAAUAAACAAAGGGCUCCACCUUUUACCUUUCUCGUCCUCUGCUCCGGCGAGUCCGUCGUCGACAGAGACUUUUAUUUCAAUUUCCUGCUUUUGCCUCUCCGGCUCCAUUGAUCCCCAACUCUAUUGAAAACAGAAACCAAAAUAAAAAUAAAAAACUUAGAGAAAGACCACGAACUCAAACCCUAAAUCUAAAGAUCGGGGCUUGCAAACGACAUGCAAGCCCGGAUCGAACUAAAAAUAGGGAAACGCGAAUAGAAAGGGGGGGUUUUUUUUACCUGUUUCCCUUCCUUUGUCGCUGUGGGAGAAGAGAGGAGGCGGAGGCGGCGGGGGA
RNAcentral lists this long non-coding RNA (1557 nucleotides) under Linum usitatissimum (flax). RNAcentral describes it as "long non-coding RNA (LUSI_LNC004930)". Lineage: Eukaryota; Viridiplantae; Streptophyta; Magnoliopsida; Malpighiales; Linaceae. The record is from RNAcentral.